AGAAGAAGGAGGAGGAGGAGAAGGAGGAGGAGAAGAAGAAGGAGAAGAAGAAGGAGGAGGAGGAGGAGAAGAAGGAGAAGAAGAAGUAGAAGAAGAAGGAGGAGGAGAAGAAGAGUAAGAGGAUGAUUAUAGUACUUAUCUUAUUUUGACCUUAUUAUGUUAUUUAGGAGGAAGAUACGCUAAACUAUGAGCUAACAAAGUUUCUUGUGAUGUUUUUACCUAACUAAGC
RNAcentral lists this long non-coding RNA (229 nucleotides) under Hordeum vulgare. RNAcentral describes it as "long non-coding RNA (HVUL_LNC000718)". The record is from RNAcentral. Lineage: Eukaryota; Viridiplantae; Streptophyta; Magnoliopsida; Poales; Poaceae.